Molecule: long non-coding RNA, 1496 nt
Organism: Callithrix jacchus (white-tufted-ear marmoset)
Lineage: Eukaryota; Metazoa; Chordata; Mammalia; Primates; Cebidae
Source: Ensembl
GGAUUCAUAAUACGGUGGACCCACAAUGGACUGGAAGCAUCCCUUUCAAAGCAUCAUUUCAGGAUGAGUAUUGUCAAUUGGAUUCAAGGAACAAUGCGAAGGAUCCAUAGCCUCAGUCACCAUGAAGAGCCUCCGAAGAGCCAACUGUCCUGGGCACAUAUAAGUGAGUGGAGACAUGGAACUCACCCUUACAAGGCCUAGAACCUGACAGAUCAUACAAGACAGAAGCCCAAAUAACUAAGAACAGGAAGCUGAGGGUGAGAGGUGGGCCCCAAAGGAUUCUGUGAAAAUGCUUUGCGUUUGUGGAUUUAUCACGCAGAAUGAAACUUUUGUUUUUAUUCACAGGUUAGACACACACUAUAGAAUCUAUGAAGGGACAUUUCUGAGUUUUUUGAGGCCUAUAGUGAAAAAUGGGUUAUCUCGGGCAGGUCAGGAUAAAUAAUGCAGUCACCAAAGGGGCACGGUGGCCCAGGUGGCCAGCAGCAGGGAUGGGCAUUGUGAGCCAUUGGAUGGGGUUUUGGGAAGUGGCAUUGUGAGUCACUGGCCUGACUUUGUUGUUUCCUGGUAACGGUAACCCGGUGACAUAGAAUGCUUUGUGGGGGGCAGGCAUCAGCCAGGACCAGCAGCCUUCAGUCGGAAGCUGGUAGUGGUAGGAGGAGGAGCUCCGACUACUCUCAGAAGUGUGCCCUUGGCGCUUGCUCUGUUGCUUUUUUUUUUAUUUUAUUUUAUUUGUUGCUUUGUUUUGUGUUUUUCUUUUGUGUGUGUGUGUGUUGCUUUUUCUUAUUUUUCUUUUUCUUUUUUGUGUGUGUUGUUUUCCCCCUUGUAUAUCACCCAUGGGGAACUGCCUGCGCCCCAGCGCUGGCCUCAGUUGUACCUUCUGCGAGGCUUGUAGCCAGUCUGAGGAAUCCACCAUUCCAGAGCCUGCUGUGUUACAUCCCAGAGUGGCGGAGGUGCAGGACGUGCAGCCCGUAAAACCAAAGAGGCGCAAAGGUUUGGCUCGCCGUGUCAGGAGCUGGGUAGCCAAAAAAUGGAGACAAAAGAAAAGGUGCCCCAAUAAAAAUGAAGGUCCCGUUGAGGUCCUCCAGGACUGCGUCCAUGAAGACAUCAAGGACGAGGAGCUCCUGGCGGAGGCGUCAUGUGAGGAUCACCACCGUCCUGUUGAGGUCCUCCAGGACUGCGUCCAUGAAGACAUCGAGGACGAGGAGCCCCUGGCGGAUGCUGCACGUGAGGAUCACCACCGUCCUGUUGAGGUCCUCCAGGACUGCGUCCUUGAAGACAUCGAGGAUGAGGAGCCCCUGGAGUGGUCUGUGGGCUACUAUUACCAUUGUCCUAUUGUGGCCCUCCAGGAGUGCGUCCAUGAAGACAUUAAGGACGAGGAGCCCGUGGCGGAUGCGUCACGUGAGGAUCACCACCGUCCUGUUGAGGUCCUCCAGGACUGCGUCCUUGAAGACAUCGAGGACGAGGAGCCCCUGGUGAGAUGCAUUUGUUCAUCUUGA